CACGUAGGGGGCAAGCGUUGUCCGGAAUCAUUGGGCGUAAAGAGCUCGUAGGCGGCUCAGUAAGUCGGGUGUGAAACCUCCAGGCUCAACCUGGAGACGCCACCCGAUACUGCUGUGGCUAGAGUCCAGUAGGGGAGUGUGGAAUUCCCGGUGUAGCGGUGAAAUGCGCAGAUAUCGGGAGGAACACCAGCGGCGAAGGCGGCACUCUGGGCUGGUACUGACGCUGAGGAGCGAAAGCGUGGGGAGCGAACGGG
RNAcentral lists this ribosomal RNA (254 nucleotides) under uncultured bacterium. RNAcentral describes it as "partial 16S ribosomal RNA". It matches the Rfam family "Bacterial small subunit ribosomal RNA", at positions 524 to 776 of the family's 1533-position model. The record is from RNAcentral.